Molecule: long non-coding RNA, 1572 nt
Filed under: Pan paniscus (pygmy chimpanzee)
Lineage: Eukaryota; Metazoa; Chordata; Mammalia; Primates; Hominidae
Description: lncRNA (ENSPPAG00000045366.1)
Source: RNAcentral
CUUUUUUCUUGGGAGUGUUUACUUUAGAAAACUAAACUUGUAAUUUUAAGUACUUUCUCCUCUUUUUGAAAUGCAUGUAUAUCAUUUUGAAAGCUAAUUAGGAUCUUUGUCAGUUUUAUGACCCAGGAAUGUCUUUUCUCAAGCAUCUGGAAGCCAUCUCUUUGAAAUGUAAACAAUAAGGGAGGUAACAACCCCAGAUUCCAGCUACUAUGGGAAGAUAAGGGGCUAACCUAGGUGGACAUAUUACUCUAAGUAGUGGAGUACUUCCUGUUGUAAAGAUAUACAUUAGUUUUUCCUCUGAAUAAGUCCAAUUAGCUAAUGCAGAUUAUCACCUCAAUUACCAGACUGACUUUAGGAUGAACUAUGACAAAUGAUGCCGUCAGAUCUACUUUCUGAAAAAUUAGUAGUUAUCGUUUAUUUUGAAAAUAUGUAUGUAAUGACUUGGGUCUGCUUGGCUAUAUAAAAGGCUGAGGUUUUUUUGUGUUUGCAAUCUCUUAGCAGAUUGUCUGUACUGAACAUCACAUUCUGAUUUAAAUUUAUUCAAUAAUAAAACUGUUUUCUUUCUCUACUACCUUUUUGGAAAGAAUUUUUGAGUUGGGUGGAAGUAGUGACUAUAUGAAGCAACUAACACUGAAGGACCAGAAAAGAAUAACGACAAUAUUAAAGAAAACAGCAAUCUUGGAGUCCAGUUAUAUUUUAAUAAAAGAUUUGUUCUCUACCAAUGCCCUACACUGCUAACAGGAAACUGCCUUCUGGAUUUGUGGGAAGUUCACCAGCAGGAAGCGCCAGUGGAAAUUGGGAGGGUGGCUAUAGCUGAUUUCAGCUGUUCUUCAGUUAGUUUCCUGGCUGCUCACAAAGAUUUUCCUGCAUGCCACUGCUCUCCAGGAAUCUACCAACAUUCACGUAGACUUCUCAAUGAAUGGCACGGAAAGUUUCUUCUUAAGGCACCUUCAAAUUCAGAGAAUUAUUCUGGAUUUUUGGACUUUUUUCUCCCUCAACGUGGAUUAAAUGUUGGACUUUUCUCACUCAACUUGGAUUGAAUGUUGACAUAGAGAUCUAACAGCAAGUGAACUAAUGCUGAUUCAAAGACACCAAGAGAGGGGGCGAAAUGGAAGGUGUGAAAUCACAGAAACCAAGGGUAAGCAAAAGCAUAUGAGGGAGGAAAAGUUUCAGUAUUCUUUGGCAGGCUGACAACUCACAAUUACAAUGUUCCUUCUUUCUCCUCCUAUUUAGUACUCAUUCUAAGGAAGGAUUGGGCCACCUCUAAAUCAUUUUAAGAGAAAGACUAGUCCCAGAUUUCUAUAGUAUAGUUUUCUAUAGAUUGUGAAUUUGUAUCUAGGCAUGAGAAAAGUCUCACUUGAUAUCAUGCUACAUUUCCAGGAAUGAAGAACUGCAAAUAAAUAAGCCAUCACUUGAUAUCCUGCUACAUCUCCAGGAAUAAAAAGCUGGAAAUAAAUAAGCCGUAAGUAGAGAAAUGGUUAAACAAAUUCCAGUGUUUCAAUGCUAUGAAAUACUAUUCAACAGUUAACAAGUCUGAGGAAGAAACAUGUAUACUUACAUGGAAGAAUAACU